AGCCUCAUUCAGUUGUAUUAUUGCAGCCAAUGAGGUUUAUCUGAGGUGCCAUGACUGCUUGUUGAAAACUUAAGUAGCUAGCUCUGUGAGAACAUUAUAUAUAUAUUAGAUACACAUGUGCAGAUACAUAUUCACAUGUAGGAAAGUGUGUAAAUAUAUAUGAAUU
Erinaceus europaeus (western European hedgehog) is the source of this 166-nucleotide non-coding RNA. The record is from Rfam. NCBI's taxonomy places the organism in Eukaryota, Metazoa, Chordata, Mammalia, Eulipotyphla, Erinaceidae.